RNAcentral lists this ribosomal RNA (254 nucleotides) under uncultured bacterium. RNAcentral describes it as "partial 16S ribosomal RNA". It matches the Rfam family "Bacterial small subunit ribosomal RNA", at positions 74 to 334 of the family's 1533-position model. The record is from RNAcentral.
CAAACCAAAGCUGGCGACCGGCGCACGGGUGAGUAACACGUAUCCAACCUGCCUCAUACUCGGGGAUAGCCUUUCGAAAGAAAGAUUAAUAUCCGAUAGCAUAUAUUUCCCGCAUGGGUUUUAUAUUAAAGAAAUUCGGUAUGAGAUGGGGAUGCGUUCCAUUAGUUUGUUGGGGGGUAACGGCCCACCUAGUCAACGAUGGAUAGGGGUUCUGAGAGGAAGGUCCCCCACAUUGGAACUGAGGCACGGUCCAA